GAUGAAGAACGUAGCGAAAUGCGAAAAGUAAUGUGAAUUGCAGAAUUCAGUGAAUCAUCGAAUCUUUGAACGCACAUUGCGCCCCUUGGUAUUCCGAGGGGCAUGCCUGUUCGAGCGUCAUAUUAACCACUCCCGCUUGCGGGGUCUUGGGCUUCGCCUCCGGGCGGGCCUUAAAAUCAGUGGCGGUGCCGUCGGGCUCUACGCGUAGUAAAUUUUCUCGCGAUAGGGUCCCGGUGGAUGCUUGCCAACAACCCCCAACUUCUUAAGGUUGACCUCGGAUCAGGUAGGGAUACCCGCUGAACUUAAGCAUAUCAAUAAGCGGAGGA
This 326-nucleotide unclassified non-coding RNA is filed under the name soil metagenome. RNAcentral's name for it is "partial contains 5.8S ribosomal RNA, internal transcribed spacer 2, and large subunit ribosomal RNA". The stretch from base 1 to 120 matches the Rfam family "5.8S ribosomal RNA", at positions 35 to 154 of the family's 154-position model. The record is from RNAcentral.